This 348-nucleotide unclassified non-coding RNA is filed under the name soil metagenome. Its description in RNAcentral is "partial contains 5.8S ribosomal RNA, internal transcribed spacer 2, and large subunit ribosomal RNA". The stretch from base 1 to 120 matches the Rfam family "5.8S ribosomal RNA", at positions 35 to 154 of the family's 154-position model. The record is from RNAcentral.
GAUGAAGAACGUAGCGAAAUGCGAUAAGUAAUGUGAAUUGCAGAAUUCAGUGAAUCAUCGAAUGUUUGAACGCACAUUGCGCCCGCCAGUAUUCUGGCGGGCAUGCCUGUCUGAGCGUCAUUUCAACCCUCAUGCCCCUAGGGCGUGGUGUUGGGGAUCGGCCAAAGCCCGCGAGGGACGGCCGGCCCCUAAAUCUAGUGGCGGACCCGUCGUGGCCUCCUCUGCGAAGUAGUGAUAUUCCGCAUCGGAGAGCGAUGAGCCCCUGCCGUUAAACCCCCAACUUUCCAAGGUUGACCUCAGAUCAGGUAGGAAUACCCGCUGAACUUAAGCAUAUCAAUAAGCGGAGGA